This 1043-nucleotide long non-coding RNA is filed under the name Equus caballus (horse). Its description in RNAcentral is "lncRNA (ENSECAG00000053725.1)". Lineage: Eukaryota; Metazoa; Chordata; Mammalia; Perissodactyla; Equidae. The record is from RNAcentral.
UAUUUCUCUAAUGACACCAUUUCAGGUCCUGUUACCAUGCAGGAACCCACUUCCCAACUGCCAUGUCCUGUAGGGAAGUGUAGGAUAUGGCUUCGGCCCUGCUCAUCGCUCUGGUCUUUCUUCUCUUUCUGUGAUGCUUACUUUGUUUUUGAGCCCAAUUCUUUCUUUUUGGAUUCUCUCUUUUUAAAUCUAUGGUUGCUAUAUGCAAUGGGCAGAAUUCAUUAUGUCAUUUGAGCAGAAGUCUGAUGUUCUGAAGUGGGCUUUCUAUACUCCUAUCUUAAAGCAGAUGCAUAAAUGUCAGGGUACUUUAAAAAUCUAUCCCUGGAUGAAGUAAGAUUAGGAAGUGGUGUCCCUCAUUGCUUUAACUGCAUUAUGCCACUCACAGUGAAAAUCUGUGCUCUGCUUCAGAGCUGUGGAGGGCAUUAUUCUUUACAUACUCCCUUUGAAAAAGAUGAGGUUUCACGAGAGAAAUCUCAUGUCAGCGUGAGGAAUAAUUAUGCUUCUCUUAGGGGACAAGAACACUGUGAAUCAUAACUGAUGUCUCCCUUUUUCUACUGGUCUGAGGAUGCUCACCGUCAAAACUGGUGGCCCACAUGUACAAGAAUAGGCAGCUUUUUUAGUGCUGAUCUGUCUUCAACUUGUUUCCUGCCCUUAUGUUAAAAUAUGACUCUCUCUCUAUAUAUAUUUUAUUGCAUUGUAUGAAUUUAUGUAAUUUAUCUUAAAAUCCUUUUUGCAUGAAGGCCUAGUAUCAUCUAAUCAAAACAGCUUCACCUUAUUUUCCCAACUGUACUGGGUAGAGGCUGCGUGUGCUGGCACACUGACUCCCGGUAUGGUGCUGGUUAAUUAGCGUUACGGACAUAGACACAGCCCCUUCCUCAAUCUGCCUCCCACUACUCAAGGAAGGGAGGCCGGACUCUGGCUUAAACAGGCCAGGCAGCCACUGAGCCUACCCCUUGGUCCCCAACGUGUCACCAGCCCCAGCAUCUCUCGUCUCCCUCCAUCACCCCCUCCCAUCCGAGCCCGCGCGGCCUCCCGUCGCUAUC